GUAGGUGGCAAGCGUUGUCCGGAAUUAUUGGGCGUAAAGCGCGCGCAGGCGGCUCUUUAAGUCUGAUGUGAAAGCCCACGGCUCAACCGUGGAGGGUCAUUGGAAACUGGAGAACUUGAGUACAGAAGAGGAAAGCGGAAUUCCACGUGUAGCGGUGAAAUGCGUAGAGAUGUGGAGGAACACCAGUGGCGAAGGCGGCUUUCUGGUCUGUAACUGACGCUGAGGCGCGAAAGCGUGGGGGGAGCAAACAGGAUUAGAUACCCUGGUAGUCCACGCCGUAAACGAUGAGUGCUAAGUGUUAGGGGGUUUCCGCCCCUUAGUGCUGCAGCUAACGCAUUAAGCACUCCGCCUGGGAGUACGGCCGCAAGGCUG
Molecule: ribosomal RNA, 372 nt
Filed under: uncultured organism
Description: partial 16S ribosomal RNA
Rfam family: Bacterial small subunit ribosomal RNA
Source: RNAcentral